RNAcentral lists this ribosomal RNA (539 nucleotides) under uncultured bacterium. RNAcentral describes it as "bacterial SSU rRNA". It matches the Rfam family "Bacterial small subunit ribosomal RNA", at positions 777 to 1315 of the family's 1533-position model. The record is from RNAcentral.
AAUAGAUACCCUGGUAGUCCUUGCCGUAAACGAUGUAUACUUGGUGUAACCGGACUCAACCCUGGUUGUGCCGUAGCCAACGCGAUAAGUAUACCGCCUGGGGAGUACGCUCGCAAGGGUGAAACUCAAAAGAAUUGACGGGGACCCGCACAAGCAGUGGAGCAUGUGGUUUAAUUCGAUGCAACGCGAAGAACCUUACCCAGGCUUGACAUGCACUAGACGGCGCCGGAAACGGCGCUUCCCUUCGGGGCUGGUGCACAGGUGCUGCAUGGCUGUCGUCAGCUCGUGCCGUGAGGUGUUGGGUUAGGUCCCGCAACGAGCGCAACCCUUAUCAUUAGUUGCCAACACGUGAAGGUGGGAACUCUAAUGAGACUGGCCCGGGUUAACCGGGAGGAAGGUGAGGAUGACGUCAAGUCCGCAUGGCCCUUAUGUCUGGGGCUACACACGUGCUACAAUGGCCGGUACAAAAGGCAGCGAAACUGUGAAGUGAAGCAAAUCCCGAAAGCCGGCCCCAGUUCAGAUUGUAGUCUGCAACUCGA